RNAcentral lists this ribosomal RNA (438 nucleotides) under uncultured beta proteobacterium. RNAcentral describes it as "bacterial SSU rRNA". It matches the Rfam family "Bacterial small subunit ribosomal RNA", at positions 201 to 630 of the family's 1533-position model. The record is from RNAcentral. Lineage: Bacteria; Pseudomonadati; Pseudomonadota; Betaproteobacteria.
GGAUCGCAAGACCUUGCGCUUUUGGAGCGGCCGAUGUCUGAUUAGCUAGUUGGUGAGGUAAAGGCUUACCAAGGCUUCGAUCAGUAGCUGGUCUGAGAGGACGACCAGCCACACUGGGACUGAGACACGGCCCAGACUCCUACGGGAGGCAGCAGUGGGGAAUUUUGGACAAUGGGGGAAACCCUGAUCCAGCCAUGCCGCGUGAGUGAAGAAGGCCUUCGGGUUGUAAAGCUCUCUCAGCCGGAACGAAAAGGUUACGGUUAAUACCCGUGACUAAUGACGGUACCGGAAGAAGAAGCACCGGCUAACUACGUGCCAGCAGCCGCGGUAAUACGUAGGGUGCAAGCGUUAAUCGGAAUUACUGGGCGUAAAGCGUGCGCAGGCGGUUUUGUAAGUCAGAUGUGAAAUCCCCGGGCUUAACCUGGGAACUGCGUUUGA